GAGCAAGCCUGUGGCUCUGCAGAGUGGUGCACAGAGACAGCCGAGCAGACACCCAGUCUUCUCUCUCCUUUUCAUUCUGAGAGCGAGAGAGCGAGCGAGAGAGAGAAAGAGAAAUAUUUUUGCACAGUCUGUAAAGUUUGUAUUCUAAACGUAGGUCUUGAUAUUUCCAAGAAUAUGAAUCUAUAAGAAUCUGAAUACCUUUAAAGAUGAGGACUUUCUUUAAUACUCACCCACGUAUUACUUGUUGUUCUCAUGUCAGACUUUGUAAACAAAUGUAUAAAAUAUUUAACACAUUAUUUAUACAUUUCUUGCCUUCAUGGAAAGCCAUUAAUUGAGCACAGAUAUAUUAGAAAUAAAGUGCUAUUUGCAUGUGGAACUAUCACGGGAAGCAUGAAAUCCAUGUCUGCAUGUUUCUGGUGACCUACUCCUAUUGUAUGGAGAUAUUACAGUGUGGCACGUGGUUGUAAACUUGCAUCAUAUUUCUGGAGACGCAGCUGCUUCAAAUCCCCGUAAUCCACCAUCAAUCUGCCAACGAUGAAUUGCAUCAGAAAUAGAAAAAUGCAUGUGGAUGAGACGUGUAUAUAGGCCUACUGACACAGGAAGAGUAGCCUCUGACGAAAUAUUUAGAAGAAAAAUAACAUUGAGAAUGUAAUCCACAAUGAGUGACGGUUUACGCACGGAUUUUACGCCUCAAAUGAGACAUUUAUUGGUGUUUGUUCAAGUUGAAUGGUCCCAGAUCCGUAUUUAAUACCUUAUUUUCAUCAGUAUUACUGACACCUAAGAAUUGGCCUAUUGCACAAUAUAUUAACAAUUGGUUAUAGUAGUACUCUGGAUAGAUGCCUUCCUAUUCACCUCCCAUAGAAUCAUCCCGAUUUGAAGUAAAACAAUAAGAUCUAUAUUCUUUAUUAAUAAUUAAAAAAAAAUGUCAUAUUGUUUUCCUCCCUGUGUUGAACUUUGAAAAAGUGCUAGGCCCCGGGCUGUUUAUUGCUUAUAUCCAGACAAAGAGCCUGGAAAGCCUGCACGUUAUCAAUCUUGCUCGCCAAAAGGUCUGACAGCUCCUUGCCCUAAGAACACAUUUAAACCAUCUAACUCUGCCUUAGAUCAUAUGUGGCCGCCAGGAAGACUGCAACAACGUGCUACUUAUGGGGGGAAACUACACAACUUGGACGUUUCUUUAAUAGGAAUCCAUUUCCGAAUAUGGAUGUUCUACAUAGAGCAGACAAUGAUAUCGACAUACACUAUAGGUGGGUUAUCUUAUCCUGCUAUAUUUUCUUAAAUGGAAGGAAAAUCUACAACAUUUUCGUUUUCAAAAGAACAACGUUAGUGGGAAAUAGCAGCAAAAGAGUGGAUUGACUGAGAUGGCGAGAAAGAAUCGAACGGAUUUGCUUUUACACGGCGUCUAUUGUCUGCAGAGGGUAGUGGACAGGAGCUACAUUAACCGUCUGUCCCCCAGUCAAGACAAGACACCUGGGAAGCAUGGCAGGAAAAAAAGUGGACUAGAAGGGAACCUUUUUUUCUCUUCGAGGACUAACGUUACUUAUCGGAGGAAAGUAAACGUUCUCAGAUUGUUGUCAGAAUACUUUAAUAUUCCACAUGGAAAUUGUUAUCAACAGCAAUACCAAGUAGUAGUAGAAUAGCUGCACUAGGCCUAUUCAUUUUGGGAUCAAUAUAAUAGUGAGAAUAACCAGACAUUACAAAUAGUGUUUUAAUUGUAAUUAAGGGUUAAUAAUCUUACUGAUAUUUGACAUUUUUUACUUUCUUUUGAAGUUUUCUGUUUAAAAAAUCAAGCAUCCUGUUGUAUAGCGGAUUCGGUUCAAGUCAGUGAAUUGUUAGAUCGAAGACAGAUGACAUUGAUUAAAGGUCAGUUAAUAGUUUGAUGUUUGCAUUGUCUUAUUUCUAUUCCUGAAUUUCCUGAGCACAAUAAAACCUUCUCUCACAUGGAUGUUAUGUUUUGUCUUAUGAAUGAAUCAUAAUCAGUCGAGUCGAAUUAUUGUUGGACCAGUAUGACAAUGUAAUCCAUACCUGCAUUAAGCCCUUUGGGGGGGAAUAGCUAUGGGACAUUAUUUUCAUGGAACAGGAAGUGAACACAUAACAUAUCGAGUAUUCCUGAACAGACAUGUUGCAGUGGGAUAGGAGGGGAGUAGUAAGACAUGAUGGAUAAGACUGGGUAUCCAUUAGAAACAUGUGUAGGUCUGUAUAUGUGGGGAGGAGGAUCAUUCACAAUGGCGAUGGCAGUGAGUGGGACUAGAGAGAUGACUAUCCACCUACAUAUGGUCUUGUUCUGUAGAUAAACCUCCCCCACACAGACACAGCUCAAAGGAUGAUAUGAGUGUGUAGUUACAUAUCCGGACAUAUGAAUUCCUGGUAAGUCAUACUCCCUUCCUGUAGCUAUAGGGUUUAUACCUUAUGAAUAUAGCCUAUAGGUCUAGGACAUUAUGCUGCUAUGUUGGUCCCGGAUAUGACGGUAGAAGAUGGAUUCUGCGGAGAGGAGUAUGUCACUGAACCAAAGAUGGUGAAUAAAUAAAGAUGUCCCACUUUGCCGUUUAUCAUUGAAAAAAGUUGUCAUUUCAAUACCGCUUAACGGAGUGGUUCUCCCAUAGGAACCAGUGCAUUAGCAGAUGGGUCUGUUCUGCUUAGUUCAUUGACUACAUGAACCAGAAAGAAAUAGGGAGUGGGAUGUCUUGCUUCCUCUCCCCUCUCUGAACAUCAAGGGCGUCCAGGAAUUGGGUCAGGAGACGACAAGGCCUUGUGCUGAAUGAUUUAACAACGUCAUUUGUUUUCAAACGUGUUUUGUAGUUAUGAGGUAAUAUUUAGGCCUUUUUCAAAUCAUGUUUAAAAAACCCACCUUUUUUUUAGCUUGGCCUUUAAUCAGAGAUGUUAUUGUUUAAAGCAUCCUUUUGUGUUUUAUGCUUUUUUAUUCAUCUAUUUUAUUGCUUCUGGUUUGCUUUUAAAUCUUUCAUGCUUUACUGUAACAUGUGAUGAGAUUUUAAAUGCAUUUUAAAUAAAGUUUGAUUGAUUUGAUUAAAUACUUUCUUAAUCAUUAUUUGAUAUUUAAUGCAUAAAGGUGUAAAUAAUAAUAGGCUUUCAUUAUUUUCAGGACCAGUAUAUUAUGUAAUGUUACCACUUGCCUCUCCGGCAUUAUUUGAAACCAUUUCCAAAAGAAAAGAAACGGACAAAUAUCAUAUGACCUUUGCAUUAAAGUGGUGUAUAUUGUAUCAUAUGACCUUUGCAUUAAAGUGGUGUAUAUUGUAUCAUAUGACCAUUGCAUUAAAGUGGUGUAUAUUGUAUCAUAUGACCUUUGCAUUAAAGUGGUGUAUAUUGUAUCAUAUGACCUUUGCAUUAAAGUGGUGUAUAUUGUAUCAUAUGACCUUUGCAUUAAAGUGGUGUAUAUUGUAUCAUAUGACCUUUGCAUUAAAGUGGUGUAUAUUGUAUCAUAUGACCUUUGCAUCACAAGGGUGUAUAUACUAUAGGCCUAACUGUG
Long non-coding RNA from Salmo salar (Atlantic salmon), 3481 nucleotides. RefSeq lists it as uncharacterized. The record is from RefSeq and is a predicted model, not a curated record. NCBI's taxonomy places the organism in Eukaryota, Metazoa, Chordata, Actinopteri, Salmoniformes, Salmonidae.